Monopterus albus (swamp eel) is the source of this 515-nucleotide long non-coding RNA. RefSeq lists it as uncharacterized. The transcript is spliced from 4 exons. The record is from RefSeq and is a predicted model, not a curated record. NCBI's taxonomy places the organism in Eukaryota, Metazoa, Chordata, Actinopteri, Synbranchiformes, Synbranchidae.
GGCAGAGAAGUCACGAGAUGCAAGAGUGCAGCAGAAGCAUGUGCCUCAGCAGAUCCAGCAGCAGGCCCAGUCCAAACUGCCGCCGCAUCUGCUCAAGAGUCUGAAAACCCACACUUGUCGCGAUGAUGUCCACAUUAGCUUUUCCCAUCUGCUGAGUGAGCUCAACAAGCCAGAAGCUCCAUAUGCCCUCACUGUUGCCAACAGGCUGUAUGGAGAGAAGUCCUACCAGUUUGUUGGGGAUUUCUUGAACAAAACAAAGAAGCUCUACAAAGCAGAGCUGGAGCCUGUGGACUUCAAAACCAGCUCUGAGGAGGCAAGGCUCAAGAUCAACGGCUGGGUAGAGAAGCAGACACAAGGUAAAAUUAAGGAUGUGCUGGCCCAGGGUGUGUUGGACAGCUUGGCUCAGCUUGUGCUGGUUAAUGCCUUCUACUUCAAAGGCAACUGGAACAAGAAGUUUCAGGAGAGCGCCACACGUGAUGCUGAGUUUAGACUCAACAAGGUAAUGCUGCACACUC